GAUGGAGCAUGUUGCAGACAGCCCAGUGUGAGGAGACCAAGUCUCCCCUUUCGCCCAUCCCGGACACUAGGGAGGGCUUUGCUCUCAAGGGAUGCCUUCUGGGUGAAGAACACAUCUCUGGAUGCUGUCAAAUUCUCAGCCUUCCUCUCUCAGCCAUCCAGUGCUCUGAUUACAGCCCAGUCCACUAGCAAAACAUCAAACGUGAAUCAACAGUAGCAACUAGAUCCAGAAGAAACUGCAAAGCUCCGCUGAUCAGCAUGAAGCAGCCAGCAGUCAGAACACCACCAGAGGAUCUUUGUUGUGUUUGUCUCUUAUGAUGAAGAUGAGAGAAGAAAGCAAGGUGACCCAAUGCCAGAGUGCUGUCAGUGAAGACCAGAUCACUGAAGUCCAACAAAGACCAGCAAGGUGAGCCAAGGCCAGAGCAUCAUCCAUGGUCUGCUGGGUUAUCCUUAUACUCACUCCAAACAUCACAUGUCCUCUCAAGCAUCCGCUCCAGCAAAACGUCACAGGCCCUGUCACCAGGCAGCUUCCAGAAAAGACCACGUGUCGCUUCUCAGCACAACGUCCUCUCAUAAGACAGUUUCCAGAAAAACAUCACAUAAUACGACUGGGUUUCCAACAAAACCAGAAAUCGCCCCCCUCUGGUGUGUGUGUGCAUGCACCAUGUUGCAUGUAUGAUGGAGGUCAGAGGAUAGCCUAUGGUUCUCUCCAUCUGCCAUGUGGACCCUCGGAUUGGAUAGAUGUCCUCAGGCUUGUCAGCAACUGUCUUUAUUUACUAAGACAUCUCGCUGGCCCUGUACAACAUAUCUUUUUGUUUGUUUAUUCUGAUUGCAAAAUUCAAAAUGGUACCCAAGGUAUUAGUUUUGUCUACACUAGAAAUGAGGUUUGAGUGAUGAAGUUUAUAUUGUACUUGAAUCAGAAGAGGAGGUCAAAUUGACCCUGUGAAAUCCACAGGGAAACCACGGGAGGCAGACGUGUUAAAGUAGUAAAGGAAAACAGUAUUGCAAUAGAUUAGUUGCUGAAGUAUACCCACCCCGAAUAGUCCUGACAGGACCAGUGAUGGCUUUAUGAGAUUCAUGACAAACCGGGUGACAUUGAUGGUGAACUUCCAGGAAAAGAGCACAGUGGGAGAGUUUGGUGCUGUUUACUUCACAAGAAAUAGCCGUGACACAGCUGUGCUGUAACAGCCAACCAGAUGUGCGACGACAGCUGAAGUUAUAGUUUAUCAUGGUCCACUACCACAACUUAUAGCCAUACAGUGACAGGUCCCUAUGGCAGAGUCUGGCCUGCAGAGGUAGGACAGUAUUGCCUGAGGCUUCUGGAGGGUGAGGCACGAUAGUUAGAGCAGUAGCCACUGGGGAGGGGGCCAUGGUUAUGGUUAAGAUGGCUAUAAUGUUGCAUAUGGAUGGAUUUGAGUAUAAAAGAUUUGGACAAGACCUCAAGUUUUGCUUUUUCAAAAAUGUCUGGUCACAAAUAUGGGGGCUACUUCGUAGAGCACUAUGGCAUACUGCAGACACAUAGAUUGUCUUACAGUGCUGCUUGGAAUAGCAUUUCUUCAUGUUUUGUUGUUGUUCUUUGUUUUGAUUUCUUUGUUUUGUUUUAUUUGUUUUAGCAGUCAACCCACCAAUACACGCUGGGAUAUUCCCAGGCAGGGCAUAUACUUAAGCACUUACCUGGGUCCUGAGUCACCAGCACUGGGGGAAAAAAAAAGACAAAAGCUGAAAAAUGUUUAGAAAAAUGCAAAACAGAUCUGUAGAGCAUUGAAUUUCACAGUCGUUGAAAAGCAGUGGUGCUGAGGAAAACCAGU
Long non-coding RNA from Mus pahari (shrew mouse), 1807 nucleotides. RefSeq lists it as uncharacterized. NCBI's taxonomy places the organism in Eukaryota, Metazoa, Chordata, Mammalia, Rodentia, Muridae. The transcript has 3 exons. The record is from RefSeq and is a predicted model, not a curated record.